This 253-nucleotide ribosomal RNA is filed under the name uncultured bacterium. Its description in RNAcentral is "partial 16S ribosomal RNA". It matches the Rfam family "Bacterial small subunit ribosomal RNA", at positions 524 to 776 of the family's 1533-position model. The record is from RNAcentral.
UACGUAGGGUGCAGGCGUUAAUCGGAAUUACUGGGCGUAAAGCGUGCGCAGGCGGUUUCUUAAGUCAGAUGUGAAAGCCCCGGGCUUAACCUGGGAACUGCGUUUGAAACUGGGAGACUUGAGUGUGGCAGAGGGGGGUGGAAUGCCGCGUGUAGCAGUGAAAUGCGUAGAGAUGCGGCGGAACACCGAUGGCGAAGGCAGCCCCCUGGGCUGAGAUUGACGCUCAGGCACGAAAGCGUGGGGAGCGAACAGG